Molecule: ribosomal RNA, 253 nt
Filed under: uncultured bacterium
Lineage: Bacteria
Description: partial 16S ribosomal RNA
Rfam family: Bacterial small subunit ribosomal RNA
Source: RNAcentral
UACGGGGGGGGCAAGCGUUGUUCGGAAUUACUGGGCGUAAAGGGCGCGUAGGCGGCCUGCUAAGUCACACGUGAAAUCCCUCGGCUCAACCGGGGAACUGCGUGUGAUACUGGCGGGCUUGAAUUCGGGAGAGGGAUGCAGAAUUCCAGGUGUAGCGGUGAAAUGCGUAGAUAUCUGGAGGAAUACCGGUGGCGAAGGCGGCAUCCUGGACCGACAUUGACGCUGAGGCACGAAAGCGUGGGGAGCAAACAGG